This 253-nucleotide ribosomal RNA is filed under the name uncultured bacterium. RNAcentral describes it as "partial 16S ribosomal RNA". It matches the Rfam family "Bacterial small subunit ribosomal RNA", at positions 524 to 776 of the family's 1533-position model. The record is from RNAcentral.
UACGUAGGGGGCCAGCGUUGUCCGAAGUUACUGGGCGUAAAGCGCGCGUAGGCGGGCCCUUAAGUGGGUGGUGAAAGGCGCCGGCUCAACCGGCGCACUGCCGUCCAUACUGGGGGCCUUGAGUGCGGGAGGGGCGAGUGGAAUUCUUGGUGUAGCGGUGAAAUGCGUAGAUAUCAAGAGGAACACCCAUGGCGAAGGCAGCUCGCUGGCCCGCCACUGACGCUGAGGCGCGAAAGCCGGGGGAGCGAACAGG